RNAcentral lists this ribosomal RNA (465 nucleotides) under Vreelandella stevensii. Its description in RNAcentral is "partial 16S ribosomal RNA". It matches the Rfam family "Bacterial small subunit ribosomal RNA", at positions 338 to 795 of the family's 1533-position model. Lineage: Bacteria; Pseudomonadati; Pseudomonadota; Gammaproteobacteria; Oceanospirillales; Halomonadaceae. The record is from RNAcentral.
CCUACGGGUGGCAGCAGUGGGGAAUAUUGGACAAUGGGCGAAAGCCUGAUCCAGCCAUGCCGCGUGUGUGAAGAAGGCCUUCGGGUUGUAAAGCACUUUCAGUGGGGAAGAAAGCCUUGGGGCUAAUACCCUCGAGGAAGGACAUCACCCACAGAAGAAGCACCGGCUAACUCCGUGCCAGCAGCCGCGGUAAUACGGAGGGUGCGAGCGUUAAUCGGAAUUACUGGGCGUAAAGCGCGCGUAGGCGGUCUGAUAAGCCGGUUGUGAAAGCCCCGGGCUCAACCUGGGAACGGCAUCCGGAACUGUGAGGCUAGAGUACGGGAGAGGAAGGUAGAAUUCCCGGUGUAGCGGUGAAAUGCGUAGAGAUCCGGAGGAAUACCGGUGGCGAAGGCGGCCUUCUGGACUAACACUGACGCUGAGGUGCGAAAGCGUGGGUAGCAAACAGGAUUAGAUACCCCAGUAGUC